GCUGGGCGUGGUGGCUCACGCCUGUAAUCCCAGCACUUUGGGAGGCUGAGGUGGGCAGAUCACGUGAGGUCAGGAGUUCGAGACCAGCCUGGCCAACAUAGUGAAACCCCAUCUUACUAAAAAUACAAAAAUUAGCCAUGGGGCUGGGCACAGUGGCUCACACCUGUAAUCCCAGCACUUUGGGAGGCAGAGGUGGGCAGAUCACUUAAGGUCAGGAGUUCAAGACCAGCCUGGCCAACAUGGUGAAACCCCAUCUCU
This 258-nucleotide small RNA is filed under the name Nomascus leucogenys (northern white-cheeked gibbon). Its description in RNAcentral is "Metazoan signal recognition particle RNA (ENSNLEG00000033324.1)". Lineage: Eukaryota; Metazoa; Chordata; Mammalia; Primates; Hylobatidae. The record is from RNAcentral.